RNAcentral lists this ribosomal RNA (276 nucleotides) under uncultured bacterium. Its description in RNAcentral is "partial 16S ribosomal RNA". It matches the Rfam family "Bacterial small subunit ribosomal RNA", at positions 79 to 354 of the family's 1533-position model. The record is from RNAcentral.
CUUUCUCCGCCGGCGACCGGCGCACGGGUGAGUAACACGUAUGCAACCUGCCCCUGUCAGGGGGACAACCCGCCGAAAGGCGGGCUAAACCCGCGUACAUGCCACCGGGGCAUCCCGGAGGCAGGAAAGGCUUCGGCCGGACAGGGAUGGGCAUGCGGCGCAUUAGGCAGUAGGCGGGGUAACGGCCCACCUAACCGACGAUGCGUAGGGGUUCUGAGAGGAAGGUCCCCCACACUGGUAAUGAGACACGGACCAGACUCCUACGGGAGGCAGCAG